GAUGAACGCUAGCGGGAGGCUUAAUACAUGCAAGUCGAGCGGUAAGGUUUUCGGACCCUAGAGCGGCGAACGGGUGAGUAACGCGUACGAAACCUACCUUUAAGAGAGGGAUAGCCCUGGGAAACUGGGAGUAAUACCUCAUAGUAUUCAAUAACCGCAUGGUUUAUGGAUUAAAGCUGCGGCGCUUAAAGAUGGUCGUGCGUCUGAUUAGCUAGUUGGUAGGGUAACGGCCUACCAAGGCUACGAUCAGUAGGGGGCGUGAGAGCGUGGCCCCCCACAUGGGUACUGAGACACGGACCCGACUCCUACGGGAGGCAGCAGUAAGGAAUAUUGGGCAAUGGACGGAAGUCUGACCCAGCCAUCCCGCGUGCAGGACGAAUGCCCUAUGGGUUGUAAACUGCUUUGUACAGGAGAAACACUGGUUCGUGAACCAGCUUGACGGUACUGUAAGAAUAAGGAUCGGCUAACUCCGUG
RNAcentral lists this ribosomal RNA (474 nucleotides) under uncultured bacterium. RNAcentral describes it as "bacterial SSU rRNA". It matches the Rfam family "Bacterial small subunit ribosomal RNA", at positions 28 to 507 of the family's 1533-position model. The record is from RNAcentral.